ACGAACGCUGGCGGCGUGCCUAAUACAUGCAAGUCGAGCGGACUAAUUAAGAGCUUGCUCUUAUGAGGUUAGCGGCGGACGGGUGAGUAACACGUGGGCAACCUGCCCUGUAGACUGGGAUAACAUCGAGAAAUCGGUGCUAAUACCGGAUAAUUGUUGGAACUGCAUAGUUCUAACUUAAAAGAUGGCUCCGGCUAUCACUAUAGGAUGGGCCCGCGGCGCAUUAGCUAGUUGGUAAGGUAAUGGCUUACCAAGGCGACGAUGCGUAGCCGACCUGAGAGGGUGAUCGGCCACACUGGGACUGAGACACGGCCCAGACUCCUACGGGAGGCAGCAGUAGGGAAUCUUCCGCAAUGGACGAAAGUCUGACGGAGCAACGCCGCGUGAGUGAUGAAGGUUUUCGGAUCGUAAAGCUCUGUUGUUAGGGAAGAACAAGUGCCGUUCGAAUAGGGCGGCACCUUGACGGUACCUAACCAGAAAGCCACGGCUAACUACGUG
This 498-nucleotide ribosomal RNA is filed under the name uncultured bacterium. RNAcentral's name for it is "bacterial SSU rRNA". It matches the Rfam family "Bacterial small subunit ribosomal RNA", at positions 29 to 507 of the family's 1533-position model. The record is from RNAcentral.